GCGGCAAAAGCUCAGAUUUGAAAGCCUCUCGGGGCAUUGUAUUCUGAAGCCUUGAUCCUGGGAAACGAUGUCUAAGUCUUCUGGAAAGGAGCGCCAUGGAGGGUGACAGCCCCGUACGACAUUGACCCCAUUGUAGGAUCUUGGCGUGGAGUCGAGUUGUUUGGGAAUGCAGCUCAAACGGGUGGUAUGCUCCAUCUAAAGCUAAAUAUCUGCGAGAGACCGAUAGCGAACAAGUACUGUGAAGGAAAGAUGAAAAGAACUUUGAAAAGAGAGUGAAAAAGUACGUGAAAUUGUUGAAAUGGAAGGGUAGGCCGCUAACCACGUAGAGUCGUGUCUGGGGGGAAGAUAAAAGCCUGAGAAUGUAGCUCCUCGGAGUAUUAUAGCUCAGGUCAAUAUUCCCAUCCGGGCGCGAGGACCUCAGAC
RNAcentral lists this ribosomal RNA (423 nucleotides) under Starmerella bombi. RNAcentral's name for it is "eukaryotic LSU rRNA". It matches the Rfam family "Eukaryotic large subunit ribosomal RNA", at positions 98 to 540 of the family's 3401-position model. Lineage: Eukaryota; Fungi; Ascomycota; Dipodascomycetes; Dipodascales; Trichomonascaceae. The record is from RNAcentral.